UCAGCAGCCGCGGUAAUUCCAGCUCCAAUAGCGUAUAUUAAAGUUGUUGCAGUUAAAAAGCUCGUAGUUGAACCUUGGGCCUGGCUGGCCGGUCUGCCUCACCGAAUGAACAGGUCCGGCCGGGCCUUUCCCUCUGGGGAGCCGCAUGCCCUUCACUGGGUGUGUCGGGGAACCAGGACUUUUACUGUGAAAAAAUUAGAGUGUUCAAAGCAGGCAUAUGCUCGAAUACAUUAGCAUGGAAUAAUAGAAUAGGACGUCGCGGUUCUAUUUUGUUGGUUUCUAGGACCGCCGUAAUGAUUAAUAGGGACAGUCGGGGGCAUCAGUAUUCAAUCGUCAGAGGUGAAAUUCUUGGAUCGAUUGAAGACUAACUACUGCGAAAGCAUUUGCCAAGGAUGUUUUCAUUAAUCAGGAACGAAAGUUAGGGGAUCGAAAACGAUCAGAUACCGUUGUAGUCUUAACCAUAAACUAUGCCGACUAGUGGAUCGGGCGGUGUUAUUUCUUGACCCGCUCGGCACCUUACACGAAAGUAAAGUUUUUGGGUUCUGGGGGGAGUAUGGUCGCAAGGCUGAAACUUAAAGAAAUUGACGGAAGGGCACCACAAGGGGUGGAGCCUGCGGCUUAAUUUGACUCAACACGGGA
This 639-nucleotide ribosomal RNA is filed under the name Phomopsis sp. RNAcentral describes it as "SSU rRNA". It matches the Rfam family "Eukaryotic small subunit ribosomal RNA", at positions 567 to 1210 of the family's 1831-position model. The record is from RNAcentral. Lineage: Eukaryota; Fungi; Ascomycota; Sordariomycetes; Diaporthales; Diaporthaceae.